CUAGCCUACGGGGGGCAGCAGUGGGGAAUUUUGGACAAUGGGCGCAAGCCUGAUCCAGCUAUUCCGCGUGUGGGAAGACGGCCUUCGGGUUGUAAACCACUUUUGUAGAGAACGAAAAGUCUAUUGAUAAUACCGAUAGACGAUGACGGUACUCUAAGAAUAAGCACCGGCUAACUACGUGCCAGCAGCCGCGGUAAUACGUAGGGUGCGAGCGUUAAUCGGAAUUACUGGGCGUAAAGGGUGUGCAGGCGGGUGUGGAAGAUGGGAGGG
Molecule: ribosomal RNA, 270 nt
Filed under: uncultured bacterium
Lineage: Bacteria
Description: partial 16S ribosomal RNA
Rfam family: Bacterial small subunit ribosomal RNA
Source: RNAcentral